This 577-nucleotide ribosomal RNA is filed under the name uncultured bacterium. RNAcentral's name for it is "partial 16S ribosomal RNA". It matches the Rfam family "Bacterial small subunit ribosomal RNA", at positions 355 to 932 of the family's 1533-position model. The record is from RNAcentral.
UGGGGAAUUUUGGACAAUGGGCGAAAGCCUGAUCCAGCAAUGCCGCGUGUGUGAAGAAGGCCUUCGGGUUGUAAAGCACUUUUGUCCGGAAAGAAAUCCUUGGCUCUAAUACAGUCGGGGGAUGACGGUACCGGAAGAAUAAGCACCGGCUAACUACGUGCCAGCAGCCGCGGUAAUACGUAGGGUGCAAGCGUUAAUCGGAAUUACUGGGCGUAAAGCGUGCGCAGGCGGUUUGCUAAGACCGAUGUGAAAUCCCCGGGCUCAACCUGGGAACUGCAUUGGUGACUGGCAGGCUAGAGUAUGGCAGAGGGGGGUAGAAUUCCACGUGUAGCAGUGAAAUGCGUAGAGAUGUGGAGGAAUACCGAUGGCGAAGGCAGCCCCUGGGCCAAUACUGACGCUCAUGCACGAAAGCGUGGGGAGCAAACAGGAUUAGAUACCCUGGUAGUCCACGCCCUAAACGAUGUCAACUAGUUGUUGGGGAUUCAUUCCUUAGUAACGUAGCUAACGCGUGAAGUUGACCGCCUGGGGAGUACGGUCGCAAGAUUAAAACUCAAAUGAAUUGACGGGGUCAUAGCUG